UUCAACUAAGUAAAUUAUAGAUUGAUCGGAGUACCAUAUGUAUGUAUGAAUGACAGCGAUGCCCAAUUCGUCGUGUUCAAAAAGUUGUUGCAUGUCCUCCUUUGCAAUUAUUUCGAAAUGAGCAAUUCCGAAAACACCUUCAUCAAAAUCUAUACUACGAAUGGCCCCGUGCAUAAUAUCGGACUCUUCCACCAUUUUCUCAAGACGCAUCAUAAUUUGAGAUUUUG
RNAcentral lists this long non-coding RNA (227 nucleotides) under Lathyrus oleraceus (garden pea). RNAcentral describes it as "Pisum sativum (pea) long non-coding RNA (PSAT_LNC035777)". The record is from RNAcentral. Lineage: Eukaryota; Viridiplantae; Streptophyta; Magnoliopsida; Fabales; Fabaceae.